RNAcentral lists this ribosomal RNA (468 nucleotides) under uncultured bacterium. Its description in RNAcentral is "partial 16S ribosomal RNA". It matches the Rfam family "Bacterial small subunit ribosomal RNA", at positions 28 to 507 of the family's 1533-position model. The record is from RNAcentral.
GACGAACGCUGGCGGCGUGCCUAACACAUGCAAGUCGAACGAAAAGGCCCUGCCUUUGUGGGCUGCUCGAGUUGCGAACGGGUGAGUAACACGUGAGUAACCUGUCCCUGACUUUGGGAUAACUUAAGGCAACUUGGGCUAAUCCCGCCUAGGAGCUCCCGCUUCUGGAUGGGGGUUGGAUAGUUUCGGUGGUUGGUGAUGGACUAGCGGCUUAUCAGGUUGAUGGUUGGGUAGUGGCUUACCAAGACUAGGACGGGUAGCCGGCCUGAGCGGCGGACCGGCCACGUUGGGCUUGAGAUACGGCCCAGACUACUACGGGACGCAGGAGUGCAGAAUAUUGCAUAGUGGGCGGAGGCCUGGUGUGGUCACGCCGCGCGGGGGAUGACGGGCUUCGCGUAGUGUACCAAUGUCGCCUUUGACGAGGCGUGAGUGACGGUAAUGGGUAAAGAAGCACCGGCUAACUACGUG